This 497-nucleotide ribosomal RNA is filed under the name uncultured bacterium. Its description in RNAcentral is "partial 16S ribosomal RNA". It matches the Rfam family "Bacterial small subunit ribosomal RNA", at positions 28 to 507 of the family's 1533-position model. The record is from RNAcentral.
GAUGAACGCUGGCGGCGUGCCUAAUACAUGCAAGUCGAGCGAACAGACGAGGCGCUUGCUCCUCUGACGUUAGCGGCGGACGGGUGAGUAACACGUGGAUAACCUACAUAUAAGACUGGGAUAACUACGGGAACCCGGAGCUAACACCGGAUAAUAUAUUGAACCGCAUGGUUCAAUAGAGAAAGACGGUUUUGCUGUCACUUAUAGAUGGAUCCGCGCCGCAUUAGCUAGUUGGUAAGGUAACGGCUUACCAAGGCGACGAUGCGUAGCCGACCUGAGAGGAUGAUCGGCCACACUGGAACUGAGACACGGUCCAGACUCCUACGGGAGGCAGCAGUAGGGAAUCUUCCGCAAUGGGCGAAAGCCUGACGGAGCAACGCCGCGUGAGUGAUGAAGGUCUUCGGAUCGUAAAGCUCUGUUAGUAGGGAAGAACAAAUGUGUAAGUAACUAUGGACGUCUUGACGGUACCUAAUCAAAAAGCCACGGCUAACUACGUG